Molecule: long non-coding RNA, 778 nt
Filed under: Pan troglodytes (chimpanzee)
Lineage: Eukaryota; Metazoa; Chordata; Mammalia; Primates; Hominidae
Description: lincRNA
Source: RNAcentral
CCUAUGAUCUACAGUGCCCAUUCCAACUCAGAGAAUCUUUACAUCUGGAGAUCUAUAGCAGGGCUAUCCCUAGUGACAUGCGUGAAGAAGCUUGGAAAUGGUGCUGGGUAGGAGCUGAGUGUGCAGAAUGUGGAAAGGCAUUCUAAACCAAAGGAAGAACACGAGUAAAGAUGAUGAAGCAGGGAUAAGGCUAAAAUGAAAUUUGUGAUCUGAUCCACAUACAAGCACAGUGUAGUACAGCUGGAAUAUAGAGAAGAGCUUGAAGACUUAUGAGCAACUAUCCCGGUACUCUUGGAGGCUCUGCAACCACAGUUUGAGAAACUCCGCGUUCAAAGUUAAAAACUGUCACCUGAAUAGUUAAUAACAUCAAAGAUUGUGAAAGCAAGUAUAAAUAACACAGAGAUUAAAAUAAUGAGGCAGGAUCAGAAAGGGUUAUGGUGGCCAUCCAGACAUAAAGAAAUUAGAACGUUCAUUCAUCUGCAGAUGCUCACACAUUCCUACAGGAUGACUGAAACCCACAGCAAACAAUCCUCAUGGAAUACAGCUCAGCUCAUCCUGAAGUAUAAGUGGGAGGUCAGUCUCACCGGAAAUUCGAUAUCUCCACAUGCAGCUGUCAUGCCACAUGGAAACAGUCAUGCAUAGGGUCCUGUCACCUGGUAGACUGACCCCAGGUCCACUGACCCCUGACAAUCAUCAACCGCUUCUGAGGGCUCCAUGAUUGAGAUUUGUCCCCAGGAACUCAGGGGAAACUAUAUAUUGAUUAAAAUGAACUAUCAAA